UUUUUAUGGAGAGUUUGAUCCUGGCUCAGGAUGAACGCUGGCGGCGUGCCUAAUACAUGCAAGUCGAGCGAACAGACGAGGAGCUUGCUCCUCUGACGUUAGCGGCGGACGGGUGAGUAACACGUGGAUAACCUACCUAUAAGACUGGGAUAACUUCGGGAAACCGGAGCUAAUACCGGAUAAUAUAUUGAACCGCAUGGUUCAAUAGUGAAAGACGGUUUUGCUGUCACUUAUAGAUGGAUCCGCGCCGCAUUAGCUAGUUGGUAAGGUAACGGCUUACCAAGGCAACGAUGCGUAGCCGACCUGAGAGGGUGAUCGGCCACACUGGAACUGAGACACGGUCCAGACUCCUACGGGAGGCAGCAGUAGGGAAUCUUCCGCAAUGGGCGAAAGCCUGACGGAGCAACGCCGCGUGAGUGA
This 420-nucleotide ribosomal RNA is filed under the name Staphylococcus epidermidis NIHLM037. RNAcentral's name for it is "bacterial SSU rRNA". It matches the Rfam family "Bacterial small subunit ribosomal RNA", at positions 1 to 408 of the family's 1533-position model. The record is from RNAcentral. Lineage: Bacteria; Bacillati; Bacillota; Bacilli; Caryophanales; Staphylococcaceae.